Molecule: ribosomal RNA, 698 nt
Filed under: uncultured Clostridium sp.
Lineage: Bacteria; Bacillati; Bacillota; Clostridia; Eubacteriales; Clostridiaceae
Description: bacterial SSU rRNA
Rfam family: Bacterial small subunit ribosomal RNA
Source: RNAcentral
CGAGCGAGUGGAUCUCCUUCGGGAGUGAAGCUAGCGGCGGACGGGUGAGUAACACGUGGGCAACCUGCCUCAUAGAGGGGAAUAGCCCUUCGAAAGGAAGAUUAAUACCGCAUAAGAUUGUAGCUUCGCAUGAAGUAGCAAUUAAAGGAGCAAUCCGCUAUGAGAUGGGCCCGCGGCGCAUUAGCUAGUUGGUGAGGUAACGGCUCACCAAGGCGACGAUGCGUAGCCGACCUGAGAGGGUGAUCGGCCACAUUGGGACUGAGACACGGCCCAGACUCCUACGGGAGGCAGCAGUGGGGAAUAUUGCACAAUGGGGGAAACCCUGAUGCAGCAACGCCGCGUGAGUGAUGACGGCCUUCGGGUUGUAAAGCUCUGUCUUCAGGGACGAUAAUGACGGUACCUGAGGAGGAAGCCACGGCUAACUACGUGCCAGCAGCCGCGGUAAUACGUAGGUGGCAAGCGUUGUCCGGAUUUACUGGGCGUAAAGGGAGCGUAGGCGGACUUUUAAGUGAGAUGUGAAAUACCCGGGCUCAACUUGGGUGCUGCAUUUCAAACUGGAAGUCUAGAGUGCAGGAGAGGAGAAUGGAAUUCCUAGUGUAGCGGUGAAAUGCGUAGAGAUUAGGAAGAACACCAGUGGCGAAGGCGAUUCUCUGGACUGUAACUGACGCUGAGGCUCGAAAGCGUGGGGAGCAAACAGG